GAUGGUGACCAGCUAGCAGCACCUCACCCAAGCUCUGCUCACUUACAGCCUCACCAGGGCACUCUUUUCCCUAAUCCAUCAUGCCGUUGAAAGGGAAAAACAAGGUGAUAUAGUGAUACUGAGAGGAGGGAGUUGGCUGGUGCUAGAGCAGCAGAAGCUCUGAGGAGAAGCCAGCAGGCAAAUUUCCCACUGGAUGCCCACUUUCUGGCUGCAGGGCAGAGAGCACCUCCCAAAAACAAGACCAGCAAGGAGAAAGAGGAAAUCUAAGGAAAUCAAAGAUAAAGAAGAAAGUUUGCCUAUUCUGCUGGUCACUCCAACACUGAAGGAGGAAGUUGGGAGUAUGGGACAAAGAUCUUUGUAAUCUCUGGCAAGAGCACAGUGGAACUUAUGAGUAAAAGUGCAUGUGAUCAGUCUGCAUUAGUGCAUUCUAAUGAUUGCUUAUAUCAAAAUAUAUGAUGAUACUGAAAACUUCCAAAGCACAUUAUCUGAGCAA
Hemicordylus capensis (graceful crag lizard) is the source of this 493-nucleotide long non-coding RNA. RefSeq lists it as uncharacterized. The transcript has 3 exons. The record is from RefSeq and is a predicted model, not a curated record. NCBI's taxonomy places the organism in Eukaryota, Metazoa, Chordata, Lepidosauria, Squamata, Cordylidae.